RNAcentral lists this ribosomal RNA (493 nucleotides) under uncultured bacterium. RNAcentral's name for it is "partial 16S ribosomal RNA". It matches the Rfam family "Bacterial small subunit ribosomal RNA", at positions 28 to 523 of the family's 1533-position model. The record is from RNAcentral.
GACGAACGCUGGCGGCGUGCUUAACACAUGCAAGUCGAGCGAUGAAAGCCUUAUGAACUAUUCGUAGUGAUUGGGGCCGGAUUAGCGGCGGACGGGUGAGUAACGCGUGAGCAACCUGCCUUAAACAACGGGAUAGCCUCGGGAAACCGGGAUUAAUACCGUAUGAGACCCCGCCUUCACAUGAAGAAGAGGUUAAAGAUUAUCGGUUUAAGAUGGGCUCGCGUCUGAUUAGCUAGUUGGUGAGAUAAAAGCCCACCAAGGCAACGAUCAGUAACCGGCUUGGGAGAGUGAACGGUCACAUUGGAACUGAGACACGGUCCAAACUCCUACGGGAGGCAGCAGUGGGGAAUAUUGCACAAUGGGGGAAACCCUGAUGCAGCGACGCCGCGUGAGCGAUGAAGGAAUUCGUUUCGUAAAGCUCUGUCCAAGGGGAAGAUAAUGACAGUACCCUUGGAGGAAGCCCCGGCUAAAUACGUGCCAGCCGCCGCGGUAA